Molecule: non-coding RNA, 71 nt
Organism: Paramuricea clavata
Lineage: Eukaryota; Metazoa; Cnidaria; Anthozoa; Malacalcyonacea; Plexauridae
Source: the annotation of a GenBank genome assembly
CCAAUGUAACUCAGUUGAUUAGAGCGUUUCGCUGAAAUCGCAGGGGCCGCAGGUUCGAUUCCGGCCAAGGA